GAUGAAGAACGUAGCGAAAUGGGAUAAGUAAUGUGAAUUGCAGAAUUCAGUGAAUCAUCGAAUCUUUGAACGCACAUUGCGCCCGCGAGUAUUCUCGCGGGCAUGCCUGUCCGAGCGUCAUUUCAACCCUCAGGGCCCGCCUGCUUGCAGGCGCGGCGCUGGUGUUGGGGAUCGGCUACCCUGCCGUCCCCCAAAUACAGUGGCGGUCUCGCUGCAGCCUCCCCUGCGUAGUAUCAACACUCGCAUGCGGAGCGCGGCGCGGCCACGCCGUAAAACCCCCGACUUUCUGAACGUUGACCUCGGAUCAGGCAGGAAUACCCGCUGAACUUAAGCAUAUCAAUAAGCGGAGGA
RNAcentral lists this unclassified non-coding RNA (351 nucleotides) under soil metagenome. RNAcentral's name for it is "partial contains 5.8S ribosomal RNA, internal transcribed spacer 2, and large subunit ribosomal RNA". The stretch from base 1 to 120 matches the Rfam family "5.8S ribosomal RNA", at positions 35 to 154 of the family's 154-position model. The record is from RNAcentral.